GAUGAAGAACGUAGCGAAAUGCGAUACUUGGUGUGAAUUGCAGAAUCCCGUGAACCAUCGAGUCUUUGAACGCAAGUUGCGCCUCAAGCCAUUAGGUUGAGGGCACGUCUGCUUGGGCGUCACAUAUCGUUGCCUGAUGCCAGUUUCCUCGUGAUGGGUGACUGUGCAGGGCGAAUGAUGGCUUCCCGUGAGCAUUGUUGCCUCAUGGUUGGUUGAAAAUUGAGUCCUUGGUAGGGAGCGCCGUGAUAGAUGGUGGUUGAGUGACGAACGAGACCCAAUCAUGUGAGACCCCUACCGAAUUUGGCCUUCAUGACCCACAUGCGUCUUUGGAACGCUCAUGACGAGACCUCAGGUCAGGCGGGGCUACCCGCUGAGUUUAAGCAUAUCAAUAAGCGGAGGA
Molecule: unclassified non-coding RNA, 400 nt
Filed under: soil metagenome
Description: partial contains 5.8S ribosomal RNA, internal transcribed spacer 2, and large subunit ribosomal RNA
Rfam family: 5.8S ribosomal RNA (bases 1-122)
Source: RNAcentral